Molecule: long non-coding RNA, 242 nt
Organism: Esox lucius (northern pike)
Lineage: Eukaryota; Metazoa; Chordata; Actinopteri; Esociformes; Esocidae
Exons: 3
Source: RefSeq, a predicted model, not a curated record
AUCACGUCGUUGUCUUCUUUGGGCACAGGCCUUAAAACCCCUAGAGCAAUACCAUGCUUUACAAAGGUAACUGAUACGUGCCAUGCUGCUUUGUUGACGUCGAGAAAUGACUCCGGACUUCGGGGGUCCACGGAUUUCCAUCCAGAUGGGGUAGAGGGAGACAACCACGCACAACGUUUCCCCUGCGUCUCACCUUGAGUGAGGGGGACAGGUGAGGUCACAGGCACUCCGUCCAGGGAGCA